UGGGGAAUUUUGGACAAUGGGCGCAAGCCUGAUCCAGCCAUUCCGCGUGCAGGAUGAAGGCCCUCGGGUUGUAAACUGCUUUUGUACGGAACGAAACGGCGCUUUCUAAUACAGAGCGCUAAUGACGGUACCGUAAGAAUAAGCACCGGCCAACUACGUGCCAGCAGCCGCGGUAAGACAGAGGGUGCAAACGUUGUUCGGAAUUACUGGGCGUAAAGCGAGUGUAGGCGGUUUCGUAAGUCAGGUGUGAAAGCCCCGGGCUCAACCCGGAAAGUGCACUUGAUACUGCGAGGCUAGAGUACUGGAGAGGUUGGUGGAAUUCUCGGUGUAGAGGUGAAAUUCGUAGAUAUCGAGAGGGACACCGGUGGCGAAGGCGGCCAACUGGACAGAUACUGACGCUGAGACUCGAAAGCGUGGGGAGCAAAC
This 426-nucleotide ribosomal RNA is filed under the name uncultured bacterium. Its description in RNAcentral is "bacterial SSU rRNA". It matches the Rfam family "Bacterial small subunit ribosomal RNA", at positions 355 to 773 of the family's 1533-position model. The record is from RNAcentral.